UGGGGAAUAUUGCACAAUGGGCGCAAGCCUGAUGCAGCCAUGCCGCGUGUAUGAAGAAGGCCUUCGGGUUGUAAAGUACUUUCAGCGGGGAGGAAGGCGAUAAGGUUAAUAACCUUGUCGAUUGACGUUACCCGCAGAAGAAGCACCGGCUAACUCCGUGCCAGCAGCCGCGGUAAUACGGAGGGUGCAAGCGUUAAUCGGAAUUACUGGGCGUAAAGCGCACGCAGGCGGUCUGUCAAGUCGGAUGUGAAAUCCCCGGGCUCAACCUGGGAACUGCAUUCGAAACUGGCAGGCUAGAGUCUUGUAGAGGGGGGUAGAAUUCCAGGUGUAGCGGUGAAAUGCGUAGAGAUCUGAAGGAAUACCGGUGGCGAAGGCGGCCCCCUGGACAAAGACUGACGCUCAGGUGCGAAAGCGUGGGGAGCAAACA
RNAcentral lists this ribosomal RNA (427 nucleotides) under uncultured bacterium. Its description in RNAcentral is "partial 16S ribosomal RNA". It matches the Rfam family "Bacterial small subunit ribosomal RNA", at positions 355 to 774 of the family's 1533-position model. The record is from RNAcentral.